RNAcentral lists this ribosomal RNA (1863 nucleotides) under Escherichia coli. RNAcentral describes it as "partial 23S ribosomal RNA". It matches the Rfam family "Bacterial large subunit ribosomal RNA", at positions 1 to 1890 of the family's 2925-position model. Lineage: Bacteria; Pseudomonadati; Pseudomonadota; Gammaproteobacteria; Enterobacterales; Enterobacteriaceae. The record is from RNAcentral.
GGUUAAGCGACUAAGCGUACACGGUGGAUGCCCUGGCAGUCAGAGGCGAUGAAGGACGUGCUAAUCUGCGAUAAGCGUCGGUAAGGUGAUAUGAACCGUUAUAACCGGCGAUUUCCGAAUGGGGAAACCCAGUGUGUUUCGACACACUAUCAUUAACUGAAUCCAUAGGUUAAUGAGGCGAACCGGGGGAACUGAAACAUCUAAGUACCCCGAGGAAAAGAAAUCAACCGAGAUUCCCCCAGUAGCGGCGAGCGAACGGGGAGCAGCCCAGAGCCUGAAUCAGUGUGUGUGUUAGUGGAAGCGUCUGGAAAGGCGCGCGAUACAGGGUGACAGCCCCGUACACAAAAAUGCACAUGCUGUGAGCUCGAUGAGUAGGGCGGGACACGUGGUAUCCUGUCUGAAUAUGGGGGGACCAUCCUCCAAGGCUAAAUACUCCUGACUGACCGAUAGUGAACCAGUACCGUGAGGGAAAGGCGAAAAGAACCCCGGCGAGGGGAGUGAAAAAGAACCUGAAACCGUGUACGUACAAGCAGUGGGAGCACGCUUAGGCGUGUGACUGCGUACCUUUUGUAUAAUGGGUCAGCGACUUAUAUUCUGUAGCAAGGUUAACCGAAUAGGGGAGCCGAAGGGAAACCGAGUCUUAACUGGGCGUUAAGUUGCAGGGUAUAGACCCGAAACCCGGUGAUCUAGCCAUGGGCAGGUUGAAGGUUGGGUAACACUAACUGGAGGACCGAACCGACUAAUGUUGAAAAAUUAGCGGAUGACUUGUGGCUGGGGGUGAAAGGCCAAUCAAACCGGGAGAUAGCUGGUUCUCCCCGAAAGCUAUUUAGGUAGCGCCUCGUGAAUUCAUCUCCGGGGGUAGAGCACUGUUUCGGCAAGGGGGUCAUCCCGACUUACCAACCCGAUGCAAACUGCGAAUACCGGAGAAUGUUAUCACGGGAGACACACGGCGGGUGCUAACGUCCGUCGUGAAGAGGGAAACAACCCAGACCGCCAGCUAAGGUCCCAAAGUCAUGGUUAAGUGGGAAACGAUGUGGGAAGGCCCAGACAGCCAGGAUGUUGGCUUAGAAGCAGCCAUCAUUUAAAGAAAGCGUAAUAGCUCACUGGUCGAGUCGGCCUGCGCGGAAGAUGUAACGGGGCUAAACCAUGCACCGAAGCUGCGGCAGCGACACUAUGUGUUGUUGGGUAGGGGAGCGUUCUGUAAGCCUGUGAAGGUGUGCUGUGAGGCAUGCUGGAGGUAUCAGAAGUGCGAAUGCUGACAUAAGUAACGAUAAAGCGGGUGAAAAGCCCGCUCGCCGGAAGACCAAGGGUUCCUGUCCAACGUUAAUCGGGGCAGGGUGAGUCGACCCCUAAGGCGAGGCCGAAAGGCGUAGUCGAUGGGAAACAGGUUAAUAUUCCUGUACUUGGUGUUACUGCGAAGGGGGGACGGAGAAGGCUAUGUUGGCCGGGCGACGGUUGUCCCGGUUUAAGCGUGUAGGCUGGUUUUCCAGGCAAAUCCGGAAAAUCAAGGCUGAGGCGUGAUGACGAGGCACUACGGUGCUGAAGCAACAAAUGCCCUGCUUCCAGGAAAAGCCUCUAAGCAUCAGGUAACAUCAAAUCGUACCCCAAACCGACACAGGUGGUCAGGUAGAGAAUACCAAGGCGCUUGAGAGAACUCGGGUGAAGGAACUAGGCAAAAUGGUGCCGUAACUUCGGGAGAAGGCACGCUGAUAUGUAGGUGAAGCGACUUGCUCGUGGAGCUGAAAUCAGUCGAAGAUACCAGCUGGCUGCAACUGUUUAUUAAAAACACAGCACUGUGCAAACACGAAAGUGGACGUAUACGGUGUGACGCCUGCCCGGUGCCGGAAGGUUAAUUGAUGGGGU